This 395-nucleotide ribosomal RNA is filed under the name uncultured bacterium. RNAcentral describes it as "partial 16S ribosomal RNA". It matches the Rfam family "Bacterial small subunit ribosomal RNA", at positions 523 to 918 of the family's 1533-position model. The record is from RNAcentral.
AUACGUAGGGUGCAAGCGUUAAUCGGAAUUACUGGGCGUAAAGCGUGCGCAGGCGGUUUUGUAAGACAGGGGUGAAAUCCCCGGGCUCAACCUGGGAACUGCCACUGUGACUGCAAGGCUGGAGUGCGGGAGAGGGGGAUGGAAUUCCGCGUGUAGGAGUGAAAUGCGUAGAUAUGCGGAGGAACACCGAUGGCGAAGGCAAUCCCCUGGGCCUGCACUGACGCUCAGGCACGAAAGCGUGGGGAGCAAACAGGAUUAGAUCCCCUGGUAGUCCCCGCCCUAAACGAUGUCAACUGGUUGUUGGGGAUUUAUUUUCUCAGUAACGAAGCUAACGCGUGAAGUUUACCGCCUGGGGAGUACGGCCGCAAGGUUAAAACUUAAAGGAAUUGACGGGG